UCCGCGAUCGCUGCUUUCAGCUGGGCAACAGCACAGGGCGGUCCUGCGCAUCCGGGGGGCUGCGCUCCCAGACCGGUGGCUGGGGAGUAGGUUGCAGGGGUGUCACUGUGUCAGGGGAGGAGGAGGAGGAGGAGGAAGAAGAGGUAGCGGCAAGGUCGCGGUCUGAGGUUCCGGUGCUCGCCGCCGCCCAGCUCCCAGCCGAGGCUUUCUCAACCGCGUCAAUAAAAGGCCGCCCCGACCCGCCCCCGCGCCCCGCAGCCCUGCCGGACACCCCGGGCUGCAGCUGAGCGGGCGCAGACGGGCCGAGGCGGGCGCCGGGCGCGCAGGGACCGAGGGACCGAGUGCUCCCCAUGAGCGCACGUGGGCCGGGCGGUCCGCAAGCCCGGCUGAGAGCGCGCCAUGGGGCAGGCGGGCUGCAAGGGGCUCUGCCUGUCGCUGUUCGACUACAAGACCGAGAAGUAUGUCAUCGCCAAGAACAAGAAGGUGGGCCUGCUGUACCGGCUGCUGCAGGCCUCCAUCCUGGCGUACCUGGUCGUAUGGGUGUUCCUGAUAAAGAAGGGUUACCAAGACGUCGACACCUCCCUGCAGAGUGCUGUCAUCACCAAAGUCAAGGGCGUGGCCUUCACCAACACCUCGGAUCUUGGGCAGCGGAUCUGGGAUGUCGCCGACUACGUCAUUCCAGCCCAGGGAGAGAACGUCUUUUUUGUGGUCACCAACCUGAUUGUGACCCCCAACCAGCGGCAGAACGUCUGUGCUGAGAAUGAAGGCAUUCCUGAUGGCGCGUGCUCCAAGGACAGCGACUGCCACGCUGGGGAAGCGGUUACAGCUGGAAACGGAGUGAAGACCGGCCGCUGCCUGCGGAGAGAGAACUUGGCCAGGGGCACCUGUGAGAUCUUUGCCUGGUGCCCGUUGGAGACAAGCUCCAGGCCGGAGGAGCCAUUCCUGAAGGAGGCCGAAGACUUCACCAUUUUCAUAAAGAACCACAUCCGUUUCCCCAAAUUCAACUUCUCCAAAAGCAAUGUGAUGGACGUCAAGGACAGAUCUUUCCUGAAAUCAUGCCACUUUGGCCCCAAGAACCACUACUGCCCCAUCUUCCGACUGGGCUCCGUGAUCCGCUGGGCCGGGAGCGACUUCCAGGAUAUAGCCCUGGAGGGUGGCGUGAUAGGAAUUAAUAUUGAAUGGAACUGUGAUCUUGAUAAAGCUGCCUCUGAGUGCCACCCUCACUAUUCUUUUAGCCGUCUGGACAAUAAACUUUCAAAGUCUGUCUCCUCCGGGUACAACUUCAGAUUUGCCAGAUAUUACCGAGACGCAGCCGGGGUGGAGUUCCGCACCCUGAUGAAAGCCUACGGGAUCCGCUUUGACGUGAUGGUGAACGGCAAGGGUGCUUUCUUCUGCGACCUGGUACUCAUCUACCUCAUCAAAAAGAGAGAGUUUUACCGUGACAAGAAGUACGAGGAAGUGAGGGGCCUAGAAGACAGUUCCCAGGAGGCCGAGGACGAGGCAUCGGGGCUGGGGCUAUCUGAGCAGCUCACAUCUGGGCCAGGGCUGCUGGGGAUGCCGGAGCAGCAGGAGCUGCAGGAGCCACCCGAGGCGAAGCGUGGAAGCAGCAGUCAGAAGGGGAACGGAUCUGUGUGCCCACAGCUCCUGGAGCCCCACAGGCUGAGGACUCCCUCUGCUUCUCCCUUACACCAGGAAUGAACCUUUCCUUCCCACUCAGAGGAGGUUCUGAGAGGACUGAGGUGGGCAAACCACUGAGGAUCUUCAGUGGGGGCAGAGAAAGGGCUCACUGAGAUGGGGGGCAACGCUAUGGCCUCAGCUUCUCCUUGGCGUCGUGUGCAUGUGUUCCUGAAGCCGAAACGGAAUUUAACAGGUCUGGGUCCCAGAUCCAUUUCCAUGACUGGCCAUGGGCUAUCUAUGAUCUGUCAAAAGGGGACUUGGAUUCAAGCUCUCAGAUCCCCUUCCAAUCUAAAACAGAUUCUUUUUUUAAAAAAAAUCCAAAUGUGAUUACGUCACUUCAGACUAAAAACUUCCAAAGGCUUCCCCCAUUUGCUCUGAGGAUCAAGGCCAGGGCAAAUGGGAGCUCACUGCAGCCUCAACCUCCUGGGCUCAAGUGAUCUUGAUCUUCCCAUUCCAGCCUCCUGAGUAGCUGGACUACAGGCGCAUGUCCCCACACCCAUUACUGCCCUCCAUGAUCUGGUCUGGGUCUACCCUGUGGCCUCUUCUCUCACUCUCUAAAUACAGUCACAUUCCUUCCUGCCCAAUGGCCUGGAAACAUGCGCUUUCCUGAAGGUAACUCCUUCCCCACACUUGCCUAUGUUAUUCAACUUUUGGGUUUCAGAUGUAAUGUUAUUUCCUCAGAGAAGACUUCCUUGACCUCCAUAUACCCCAACUUGGGCUAGGUCUGCUAUGUCCUCUUCAUAGUACUCACCAUGAUUUAAGUAUUUCUGAAGUUAGGUGAUGCUGGUUUCCCCAGUUAACCAUAAAUCCAAUGAGCACCAUCAUUUUCAUUACUGUAAUUUCUUUUUUUUUUAGACAGGGUCUCGCUGUUGCCUAGGUUGGAGUGUAGUGGCAAAAUCGUGGCUUACUGUGGCCUCAACCUCCCGGGCCCAGGUGAUCCUGAUCCUCCCACCUCAGCCUCCUGAGUAGCUGGGACUACAGGCACAUGCCACCACAUCUGGCUAAUUAAAUGUUUUUUUGUAGAGAUGGGCAUCUCACUAUGUUGCCCAGGCUGGUCUUGAUCUCCUGGGCUCAAGCCUUGGCCUCCCAAAGUGCUGAGAUCACAGCAGGAGCCACUACACUCAGGCAAUUACCGUCAUUCUAAUGCAAUAUUUAUUCCUCAAUUAAACAAAUGCAUUUUAUUCUUUUUUUUUUGAGAGGGAGUUUCGCUCUUGUUGCCCAGGCCGGAGUGCAAUGGCAUGAUCUCGGCUCACCGCAACCUCUGCCUCCCAGGUUCAAGAGAUUCUCCUGCCUCAGCCUUCCUAGUAGCUGGGAUUACAGGCCUGUGCCACCACACCCGGCUAAUUUUGUAUUUUUAGUAGAGAUGGGGUUUCUCCAUGUUGGUCAGGCUGGUCUCGAACUCCUGACCUCAGGUGAUCUGCCCACCUCGGCCUCCCAAAGUGCUGGGAUUACAGGCAUGAGCCACCGUGCUCGGCCACAAAUGCGUUUUAUUCUAAAAUAACCCUCCUGACAAGAAAGGAUCAUGGAUUAACACAUGGAGGUGUUUACACCCUAAACCUGCCCAAAGUUCAACUUCAAUGUCCAAACAAUUUUUGUGUUUUUUUUGAGAUGGAAUCUUGCUGUCACCCAGGCUGGAGUGCAGUGGUAUGAUCUUGGCUCACUGCAACCUCCACCUCCAGGGUUCAAGCGAUUCUCCUACCUCAGCCACCCAAGUAGCUGGGAUUACAGGUGCCCACCACCACGCCUGGCUAAUUUUUGCAUCUUAUUUUUAGUAGAGAUGGGGUUUCGCCAUGUUGGCCAGGCUUGUCUCAAACUCCUGACCUCAGGUGAUCUGCCUGCCGUCGGACUCCCAAAGUGCUAGGAUUACAGGCGUGAGCCACUGUGCCCAGCCUAAAUGUCCAAACAAUGUUUAAUCUUCCCUAGACAUAUUCUAAAAAAUACAGCUUGACUUUAUUUUUUCUUAUGGAAAGGACUGUCACUAAAUGAAAUGGAACUAAAAUGACACCAUAUAUACCUGAAAGUAGUGGUUAGUGGGAGGGAACGCUGGCCUGUGAAAGGUACACCCAGCAAACAUAUCAAGAGCAAAUUAAGAGACCUGCAUUUGAAUCCUGGCUCUGUCUCUUCCUAGCUGUAUCUCCUCUGGGAGAAGUAUUUAACCUCUCUGAGCCUCAGGUUCCUUACGAGGGAGCUAACAAUAACAUCUACCCUGUAAGGUUAUUGCUAAAAUUAAAUGAGAGGAUCGGUGUAGAGUAGAAGUCACAAUGCCAGCAUAUAGGGAACUCUUUUUUUUUUUUUUUUCCCUGAGAGACAGACGGAGUCUUGCUCCAUCACCCAGGCUGGAAUGCAGUGGCACGAUCUCGGCUCGCUGCAACCUCUGCCUCCAGGGUUCAAGCGAUUCUCUUUCCUCAGCCUCCCGAGUACCUGGCAUUGCAGGCGCGCGCCACCACACCCGGCUAAUAUUUAUAUUUUUAGUAGAGACGGAGUUUUGCCAUGUUGGCCAGGUUGGUCUUGAACUCCUGACCUCAGGUGAUCCGCCCACCUCGGCCUCCCAAAGUGCUGGGAUUACAGACAUGAGCCACCGUGCCCGGCCCAGGGAGCUCUUAAUACAUAUUAACUGUUACUGCUUCUUAGGAUGUUAAUAAGUUCUUUCCUUAUGUAGGCCCUUAGGGCCCGUUUCUGAAUGGCCUAUGUGUAAAUACAAGGACUUAACACAAGGCUAUGGCCCAUUCCUUGCUCUCCAGGAGUCAAAUCUCGGCGAUUUUGCAUCAGUGGCAGCCUAAGCGUUACAGCAGGAAAGAACUCCACAAAGUGUCUCACGCUUCAUUUAAUCUGAAGAAUAUUACAGGCUCUCCGUCUUCAGAUAUAAAUUAUUUAUAACGUUACAGAACAAGCAGCGAAUUCAACCACUUAAGAACUAAGGAAGUCUACAUGGUGUUAAUUGCUGGCCACAGUCCUCCCGAUCUGGUUUUUUAAAAAAGUCCCCCGGGCCCCCAUUUCAGUAGACGUGCACCAUGCCGUAGAGGAACGUCCAGAACAGGACGUAGGUGAAGAGGCCCCCGAUGAGGCCUCCUGUAAAGAGAGGUCUCCGUGAUUUGAAAUAUUUGUUCCACCUCCUUCCCGCCUUGAGAAUGAGGAGCAGGGAGAGCAGGACGGAGGCGAGCAGGUAGAAGAUGAAGCCGUAGAGGCCGGUGAGGCCGAGGAUGCCGGCCGUGGCCCCCGACAGCGCUGACACCGAGGUCCGGCAAUAAUCCAGGACGGCGGCGUUGCCCCGCACGGCCGCCUCGCUGAUGAACGGCGGCCCUUCCCGCUUGGCCACCACCGCGGCCAUCGCACCAGCCCGGGCUCGGCCUCUCGCUUUCUCGCGGAACAACGCGGAGCUGCGGAGAAAACCAAGUUACAAGUGGCGCCCGGAGCUCGCAAAGAGUUGAAAUUCACAAGCUGCGUCAAGGUGAGAACUUAAUCCUGGGUUUCAGCAUUGGAGGUGGAAUCGACCAGGAUCCUUCCCAGAAUCCCUUCUCUGAAGACAAGACGGACAAGGGUAUUUAUGUCACACGGGUGUCUGAAGGAGGCCCUGCUGAAAUCGCUGGGCUGCAGAUUGGAGACAAGAUCAUGCAGGUGAACGGCUGGGACAUGACCAUGGUCACACACGACCAGGCCCGCAAGCGGCUCACCAAGCGCUCGGAGGAGGUGGUGCGUCUGCUGGUGACGCGGCAGUCGCUGCAGAAGGCCGUGCAGCAGUCCAUGCUGUCCUAGCAGCCACCACCAUCUGCGACUCCUGCCUGCCGCCUCUCUGUACAGUAACGCCACUUCCACACUCUGUCCCCAUCUGGCUUCUGCUGACCGCUGGGCCCCAGCUCAGAAGGGCUAUAGCUGGUCCCAGAGGCCUGGCCUGGCCUUCCUUCCCUUCUCCCAUCCCUGGCCUGGGGCCUCUGGGACCGGCUUUCUCUCCUGGACACCGAGGAUUGGAAAUAAGGGCCUGGAGCUGAGUAGUAGCCAGUCUGCUGUGACCACAGGCUCAGGUCCGACCCUGCUGCUUGGCCACAGCAGUGGCUGGGCAAGUGGGAACCACUAUCUCUUGGGAGCCCCCAAAAGCUGGGAAAUGCUGGAGGAACCAGGCCUUUCCCGCUUUUGCCUGGCUGCAGGGUUCGGCUCCGCCCCUGCCCCCCAGCCCUCGUGUGUCCACACCGCAGUGCCUCUGCCCCUCGGGGGACUGGACACACAUCCUGCCAGAGGCGCUACGAAGCUUUGCCCAGAUGAAGCCAGGUGGGCUCCGCGUUCACUCCCACUCUCCCGAGGGGUGCUGGCCUCCCCAGGGUUUGCCUUCUUACGGAUUUAGACGAGGUUCGAGGCUCACCUAUCAGGGCAGCUCUCAGGAUUGUCAUUUUCCUCUUUGCCUGUGGGUUUAACUUUUGUAUUUUUUUAAUCACAAGUUUGAUACAAAAUGUUUUUAUCGUACUCUUUGGAGAUGCCCAUUCUACUUUUGAAUUUAGCUUUUACUAAUUCGCAUCUGGAAGCUCAGCAAGUGCACAAGCCUUACUUUGGUUACCGUGGAAACCACUGCCGCCCCUCCCCGAUGUGGUGCGCUCAAUAAAAAUGCUGGAAUUCACA
Homo sapiens (human) is the source of this 6285-nucleotide long non-coding RNA. RefSeq annotates it as P2RX5-TAX1BP3 readthrough (NMD candidate). Lineage: Eukaryota; Metazoa; Chordata; Mammalia; Primates; Hominidae. The transcript is spliced from 15 exons. The record is from RefSeq and is marked validated.